Molecule: long non-coding RNA, 497 nt
Organism: Xenia sp. Carnegie-2017
Lineage: Eukaryota; Metazoa; Cnidaria; Anthozoa; Malacalcyonacea; Xeniidae
Exons: 2
Source: RefSeq, a predicted model, not a curated record
GUGAAUUUCCUUUAAAUCAGGCCUUGUCUGUUAUUCUAUGCAGCACGAAACUCGACUGCGACAUGGCAAAGGAACGCGGAAUUGUCGCAGAAAUUUUAUCUUUCAAACAUUUCGAGUAGGAACUCAAUUCACGUUUGGCAAGAUUUUCACUAGUUUCUAGACAGUGCCUGCGAGACACAAAGACGUUGAUAGUCAGCGGUAAUAUACAUGAACUUGAGGAUAAAAAUCACGUGGAAUGCGAUUUGAUUCAAAAGUACAUCAGCAACGAGGAUAUUUUGGAUGGCAUCGUAAGAAGAUGGUGGACGAGCUUACAGGAAUGACUUACCAUCCAGGUAUACUUGCGAUCAGACUUUUGGCGCUUGCUAAUAUUUAUUUUACAAAUAGGAUAUUGUGUCCCAAUGAUUCGUUUGUAACCUUUACGCAACAGAAUUUGUAGCGUUGUUGGUGUAAAUCAUUUGUAACUUGAGUUGAAUAACAAAACAUAUUCGUUCAUUUAA